UAGUAGGCAGCCUGGAGAUCUGAGG
RNAcentral lists this non-coding RNA (25 nucleotides) under Mus musculus (house mouse). Lineage: Eukaryota; Metazoa; Chordata; Mammalia; Rodentia; Muridae. The record is from RNAcentral.